Passer domesticus (house sparrow) is the source of this 370-nucleotide long non-coding RNA. RefSeq lists it as uncharacterized. NCBI's taxonomy places the organism in Eukaryota, Metazoa, Chordata, Aves, Passeriformes, Passeridae. The transcript is spliced from 3 exons. The record is from RefSeq and is a predicted model, not a curated record.
AAGUGCACCUCAGCUGCUGGGUGAUGUCAGGAGAUGCUGUCCCAUUGACUCCCAGUUGUGGGAGCCACCCCAGCAGCAAGCACACAAGCAAGGAAGUGCCAUCCAUCCAGAAUAAGCCACCAAAACAAAGAACAAACAGCAAGCAGGAAAAUGAAGGAGCCAGCAGACCCACACCAGCUUUGUCAGGAAGGAGAUAUGCAAACACCCUUCACCAAUGCUUGGCCAAUGGAGCAACUGGAGAUGUUUUCACAGCUGCCUGUUGACAGUUCACAGAUUGAUCAGAGCAACAGACAGGCUGAAGCUGGAUGGAGGACAUGUAGAUCAGAGACAGAGCAGUCACGACAAUGCUACUGAAUAUCUGAGGACCCAG